RNAcentral lists this ribosomal RNA (482 nucleotides) under uncultured bacterium. RNAcentral describes it as "SSU rRNA". It matches the Rfam family "Bacterial small subunit ribosomal RNA", at positions 26 to 517 of the family's 1533-position model. The record is from RNAcentral.
AGGACGAACGCUGGCGGCGUGCCUAACACAUGCAAGUCGAACGCGCUCCAUUCGGUAGCAAUACUGAUGAAGAGCGAGUGGCGAACGGGUGAGUAGCACGUGAGCAACCUGCCCCGAAGACUGGGACAACACCGGGAAACCGGUGCUAAUACCGGAUAUCCCUAUCGGACCGCAUGAUUCGAUAAGGAAAUGGAUUCCGCUUCGGGAGGGGCUCGCGGCCUAUCAGCUAGUUGGUGGGGUAAUGGCCUACCAAGGCAUCGACGGGUAGCUGGUCUGAGAGGACGAUCAGCCACACUGGGACUGAGACACGGCCCAGACUCCUACGGGAGGCAGCAGUGGGGAAUCUUGCGCAAUGGGCGAAAGCCUGACGCAGCAACGCCGCGUGGAGGACGAAGGCUUUCUGAGUUGUAAACUCCUUUCAGCAGGGACGAUAGUGACGGUACCUGCAGAAGAAGCACCGGCCAACUACGUGCCAGCAGCCG